RNAcentral lists this ribosomal RNA (522 nucleotides) under Eurotium sp. gxlbc6. Its description in RNAcentral is "eukaryotic LSU rRNA". The stretch from base 178 to 331 matches the Rfam family "5.8S ribosomal RNA". The record is from RNAcentral. Lineage: Eukaryota; Fungi; Ascomycota; Eurotiomycetes; Eurotiales; Aspergillaceae.
CCUUCCGUUAGGGUUACCUGCGGAAGGAUCAUUACCGAGUGCGGGCCCUCUGGGUCCAACCUCCCAUCCGUGUCUAUCUGUACCCUGUUGCUUCGGCGUGGCCACGGCCCGCCGGAGACUAACAUUUGAACGCUGUCUGAAGUUUGCAGUCUGAGUUUUUAGUUAAACAAUCGUUAAAACUUUCAACAACGGAUCUCUUGGUUCCGGCAUCGAUGAAGAACGCAGCGAAAUGCGAUAAUUAAUGUGAAUUGCAGAAUUCAGUGAAUCAUCGAGUCUUUGAACGCACAUUGCGCCCCCUGGUAUUCCGGGGGGCAUGCCUGUCCGAGCGUCAUUGCUGCCCUCAAGCACGGCUUGUGUGUUGGGCUUCCGUCCCUGGCAACGGGGACGGGCCCAAAAGGCAGUGGCGGCACCAUGUCUGGUCCUCGAGCGUAUGGGGCUUUGUCACCCGCUCCCGUAGGUCCAGCUGGCAGCUAGCCUCGCAACCAAUCUUUUAACCAGGUGACCUCGGAUCAGGAGGUCCAA